AGGGCAACACUCCAAUGUCCACCACCUCCCCCGUGGCGUAUAGAGGCCGAGUAAUGUGAUUGCAAGCUCUCCUUGACCUGUGUCUUGGCUAAUCGGAGUUCCUCUUCGAUUUUAAGCUGUUGCCCAUUUGCCAGUUAGCCUGUUUAUCGUCGGGGCGACGAUAAAGAACGAGGGGGUAGAUUGUAGCCAGUUCACCUUGUUUCUGUCUUUUCCCCAUGUCUCCCUGUUUUCCCUACAUGUCCCACACUGGCCUGCUCCCGCUAACUAGGGGGGCGUGGUGAUUAGUUACACACCGGAGUUCGUUCGCACUGAUUACUGGCCGGACAGUAUAAAACCACCCAGGUACGAAGAAGCGUUGUAAGCUCUGCCUGUUUAACCCCCUAGCGUGUCGGAUUUAGUCAUCAGGUAUGUUGCAAUACUCCCGUUUGCUGCCAGACUAAUAACAUGGUUUAAUCAAUGUUUGUCUUCACCUGUAGCUUCGUGGUCACCGGCUAGUCUGCUCCUGCUGCCCGUGUGUUAGACACCAUCCCUUAUUCAUUCUACAGAUGUGGGGCCCUCUUUGAGGGAGGCUAGUCACCUGGUGGUGGGACCCUGUAGCUGCACAUUUGUGGUGUCAUUGUUGCUUGCGGUGGGCUGCUGUGUCACUGGUAAGUCACUUUCUUGCAGUGUGUAUGCACGUGUGAUGGCUGGAACUUAGAACACACCUCCAGUUAGUCUGUCUCCCUCAGGUAAGCCCCCAUCUGCUGUAUCUUUUUAGCUCCAGUGGAGCCUGGCCCCACUUUAGAAAUCACCUGUUCAUAUUGUAUCAUAAUAAAAGAACAAUAAUAAAUAUUUUUGUACUUUCAUAACCUCUGACUCGUUUCAGGUAUUAUUGCAGGACACUCCUCCCUUCCCCCCCCCCCUUUGGUUAUUUAAUAAACUUAUG
Molecule: RNA transcript, 925 nt
Organism: Alosa sapidissima (American shad)
Lineage: Eukaryota; Metazoa; Chordata; Actinopteri; Clupeiformes; Clupeidae
Exons: 2
Source: RefSeq, a predicted model, not a curated record